Molecule: transfer RNA, 361 nt
Filed under: uncultured Microcystis sp.
Lineage: Bacteria; Bacillati; Cyanobacteriota; Cyanophyceae; Chroococcales; Microcystaceae
Description: partial 16S-23S ribosomal RNA intergenic spacer
Rfam family: tRNA (bases 136-209)
Source: RNAcentral
AAAGGGAGACCUAAUUCAGGUAAAAGACGAAAAAAAAGUAGUCGCUACCAAGAAUCAAUCCCAAAAGGUCGGAGCGAGGCGAAAUUGGCUUUCAAACUAGGUUCUGGGUUCAAACAAGACCUGAAUCAGGAACAAGGGCUAUUAGCUCAGGUGGUUAGAGCGCACCCCUGAUAAGGGUGAGGUCCCUGGUUCGAGUCCAGGAUGGCCCACCUGCACAGGUGGCAAAAACAAGAGAAGCGAGGAAUCAGCACCUUAUCUUACUUAUAUAGUAAGAGAGAAUGCUGGCUCUGAGUACAGAGUCCAGAGGAACCUUGAAAACUGCAUAGAGCUAGGUGAAAAAGCCAAAAAAGAAGACCGCAAG